Long non-coding RNA from Zea mays, 1308 nucleotides. RefSeq lists it as uncharacterized. NCBI's taxonomy places the organism in Eukaryota, Viridiplantae, Streptophyta, Magnoliopsida, Poales, Poaceae. The record is from RefSeq and is a predicted model, not a curated record. The transcript is spliced from 4 exons.
UCCGUGCUCCAAUUCUGAGAACAUCGCCUCCUAUCCCGGAAGCCUAGCCCUAUCCUCCAUCUGGCCAUUCUCUCUCCGACUCUCCCCCACCCCAGCCACCGCCACCACUGUCAUCUCCUCUCCUCCCUUUUUUCGGGUAUUCUUUUCCCCACUUCUUCGCGCUCGCUAGGCGCUCCCUCCAUUCCUAGCUGAACGUGAAGACGGACAACUAGACGAGCAAUAUGAGAGCGGUUGACCAGAGGCGGUGAAGUGAGAUGGGUUCUUGUGUUGGAUGCAUCAAAUCUUGGGAUGAUCAAACCAAACACCAUAGCGGAAAAUGGUUCAGGAUAUAUAUGCUUGGGAACUAGUGCUACAUGGAUGCUUUCAAGAUACCAUAAGAACCAUUGAGAGUUUCUGCGUUAGUAUCACUCUGAGGCAUUUCUGUUACUAAUGCAGGUGCCGUGCUAGGGAAACAACCAAAAUAGGUAAACGUUCAAAUUUCUACCUCCCUUGUCUUACUUUAAGAAGUGGUGGUGACAAUUGUAGGUUAGCUAUCCCGAAAUAUUAUUUGUGACUGACUGAUGUUUAAAAAUGAUGCAGAUACAAAUGUAUUGUUUAACCACCUUGCUACUAAGGAAAUAAUCCUGCUACUGAACAAAUAAUAGAUCACAUCAUUCACCUAGAAAAACAGAUGAUGUCCCAGAAUCUAAUACGUCUAGGGAUAAGGGUCGAAUCUAUUCAACAUAGUCGAAAAUGUUAAUUCCCAUAUACUGACAUACUGUAUUGUGAACAAGAGAUAAUGUAAUCCAUAGUAAGAGGGACAGAUAGGAGAAACUUAGAAACCCAAAGCUCUAAAUGGUAAUUCAAUUUAACAUGGAGGCACAGGAUCAUAUACCACACAUCGACAUCAAUAUUGACUAAUUCCUUGCUUAUUUUCAAUAGGAUGAAAGAGUGUCGAAUGCUUCUUCAGACACUAUUUCUUGGUUCGUCAAUUCUAUUAACCCAAAUGCAUUUUUUCUCAAAUGUGGCAAAAAAUGAUUCUCUCACCAAUUGUCAGCACGCCUGUUUCUAGCAAAGUUCUAGAGAAGGAAAAGAUGGAAUGAAACUCAUAUUUUGGUGGCCGCACAAGUGUGGAUACUUGAAUUCAUAUAUAUACUUAGUUAGGAUCGAAGUUAGUGCAAACAGUUGAUGAUCAAGUUUUUUAAUUAGUAUUUUAGUUUGGAUUAAGAGUACAUUUAUGUAUGAGUUAUAUGGCAUUGCUAAUUUAUAAGAUAUUGAAUGGUACUUAUAAAUAUUAUAUUAAUAGGAAUAUUAUUAAAUAUAUGUGUA